This 205-nucleotide unclassified non-coding RNA is filed under the name Hevea brasiliensis (rubber tree). The record is from RNAcentral. Lineage: Eukaryota; Viridiplantae; Streptophyta; Magnoliopsida; Malpighiales; Euphorbiaceae.
GAAGAACUUUGGAAAACUGCCCCCCAUUUCAAUAAAAAGGGGAAGAAAAAGAAAAGCAUGAUUCACCUAGAUCACAGACUGGAUGACAUUGAGAAGGAAUNNNNNUAAGAAACCCCAGAUUCUACUGAUAAUGAAAGUGUUCAAAUGUCAAGAAAUAAGGUUAAGCCUGUCAUUCGUUCUUCCAGCCCUAUGGUCCACACCCCCG